This 7519-nucleotide long non-coding RNA is filed under the name Lactuca sativa (garden lettuce). Its description in RNAcentral is "long non-coding RNA (LSAT_LNC001785)". Lineage: Eukaryota; Viridiplantae; Streptophyta; Magnoliopsida; Asterales; Asteraceae. The record is from RNAcentral.
GCUUAAGCAACCAAAUUAGGGUUUCCUUGUUAGAUAACCCUAAUUGCCUCACUAUAUAUAGACCCCUUAAGGACCAAAAACGUGGACAAGCAACCUUCUAGGGUUUCACACGUUUUUGGGCAGCCUCCAUCCUCUCUCCUCUUCAUCCUCUUGCUUAUGGUGUUUGUAAGCCAUUAGAGGAGUGACACUUGUGACUCUAAGCCUUCCAAAGUCAAUUCAAGGAGGAAUUGGGAUUGUUAUUGCUACAUAACAAUCAAGGUAAUAUCUUAAACCUAAUUAUAUGUUAAUAUUGAUUUCCAUAUGCUAGAAUUAGGGUUUAUAGUCUUGGAUUCAAAGCAUGUACAAUAGAGAAACCUAGAUCCAAGCAUUAGGGUUUGUAUGAGCACAUAGGAUGUCUUAUGACCAAAACCCAUCAGUGGUAUCAGAGCCUAGACUGGUUUCAAUUGUAUUGAUGCAUUACAUGUUCAAAAAAUUCGAUUUUUGGGUUUCUGGAGGCUGGACUCGCCGAGUCCAUGGCUGAACUCGCCGAGUCCAUGCAGACUCGACGAGUCCAAGCCUGACUCGACGAGUCAACUCGUCAGAUGGAGGGUAUUUCGCGAUUUCUUGCUGUUUUUGCUUUUGGAUAGUUACCUUAUCAUGUUAGAUCAAUAUUAAUCCGAUUAUAUGAUAUAUUUGACUAUAUUUUUGAUCUAAUUGAAGAUAUUUAUCAAUUAAUAAGAUAAUUGUUUCCUUAUGUGAUAAUUGAUUAAUUAUUUUGAUUAAAUUGAUAAAUUGUUUUGCAAGAAAUCAUUAAAUAAAUCAAAUAUGGAUAAUUAUGUGAUUAAAUGUUAAUUUAGAUUAUUUGUUAUUUGAUCCUUGUUGUUAUGAAAAGUUUCAUAUUUUCCCCUUUAGGUUUUAUAGUUUAAAUUUGAACCCAAAAGUUUUGUUGUUUUGAAAUUUAAAUAGUUGAAACCCUAAUGUUUUGAAAAAGGUUUCAAAACUUGCCCUCAAGUUUUGGAAUUUAAAUUUUGAUUAAAUAGUUUAAUUUUGAUGUAUAUUUAAAUUCUAAACCCUAAUGUGUUGAAAUGUUUCAAAACUUGCCCUCAAGUUUUGGAAUUUAAAAGUUGAUUAAAAGUUUAAUUAGGAAUGUUAAAUUCUAAAACUCUAGUAUAGUUUUGAAAAAGUUCAAAUCACACCCUUAUGGUUUUAUUAAUUAAUUAAGGUGUAUAAUUAAAAGAGGUUUAAUAAAUCCAUAAAAGUUUAGGUUUACAAUUUAAUUGAAUUAAAAGUAUAAUUGUUAAAUUUGACCACCUAGUAUUUUAAAAGUGUAAAAUACACCCUAUACUAUAUAUAACAUUAAAAGUCUAACAUUAUAUAUAUGUAUGAGUAAAAGUCAGUCUUACCGUUAGUAGGCCUCAUUCACGAAGCUGGUCUAUAAGGGGUGUUUAAGGAAAUUGCCUAUAAAAUGGCGAUUGAAUGGGUAUCCACUCUUACCCACCGCACUCUUGACUAGUGGAGGGUCGUUAGCCGAACGGGUAGGAUGGGCAAAAACCUUCCAUUAUAAGUAUAAUGAAGUAUAAAAGUAACUAAAUGUUUUCAUAAAAUUCCCAAUCUUAGUUACUUAGGCAAAAGUGAAUUGAUGCAAUUCCAUGAAAUUACACUUUGUGCCCUUGCGAAGACGUUAGUGGAGCGUGUGUGGUUUACCGGCACACUAAAUGGUUCUAAGCAAAGGUAGCAAAGGGUGACUCAAUGUUUGUCAUAGUUCGGUGGAGCGUGUGUGGUUUACCGGCACAUCGAAUAGGUGACUGUAACAUGUGAGGGCACCAUGUAAGUUUGCAUGGUUAUUCACACCCGCUUUGUGAUCCUCGGCAUCCCAGUCACAAACAAGAGGGGCAUAUCGAGAUUUAAACAUGCCAUUGAAAUGUUCAAUGAAUCUCAAAGGAUCUAGGAGUUUUCAUAGAUUUAAAACUUAAAUUUCUUUUUCGUUUUUCAUGGUGGAAAUUAGUGAAUCGUCAUUCACUUACCUUCAAAUGUUCUGCAAUUUGGGUUACGGCAUCCCUCUCCCGAGUUGUAGAAUAUUGUGUUGGGUCCUAGCCUUAGUAUCUCAUUUGGGUGAUUUACUAAGGACUCAAUCAAUCAACUAACUUGAAUUCGUUUUCUCCCGUUUUGUAGAUGUCAAAGUUCGACAACUAUGGUCUUCCCAAAUCCCGUGGAACAAGCAUUCCACAUGAAGAUGAUAUUCCACGAUUCGAUCGAGGAACAAGAAAUCAUGCUUCACUUCCUCCACCUCCUCCAAUUAUUCUCCCUAACCCACAAGUUCAAAGGCUUGAAAAGUUCAAGAUCACUCAAGCCCUUUUGGCAAGUAAACAUAAAGAAGGAAAGUCGGUGUGUGCACACGUCCUAGGGAUGAAGUCACACAUUGAUAGGUUAAGAAUGUUGGGAUCCGUUGUCUGUGAGGAAAUGGCUGUUGAUUGGGUUCUUCAGUCACUUCCUAACUCAUAUAGUGAGUUCGUAAGAGAGUACUAUAUGAUGAACCGCGACGUGACCCUUAUAGAUCUCACCUAUAUGCUUAUUGCUGCUGAAUCAGCAAUGGUUUGGCGCAAUAGAAAAGCAAAGUUGAUUGGUGAAUCUGCCUUCAAGACCUCUAUGGAUAUAGACAAUGGCAACGAAAGACAUGCUAUGAUCGAAAAGUUUGAUCAUAAGAGAAAGGCAAUGUCUGAAGUAGUUCCAUGUCAUGUUCCAAAAGAGUCAAUUUGCUUUUAUUGCCAAGAGAAAGGGCAUUGGAGACGAAGCUGCCCCAUUUACCUAAGAGAUCUAAGAGAUGGGAGAGUCGAAACGUAUGGCUCUAAUAUAGGUAAAAUCCAUUAACUAACUCUUUUAAGCUUCUAUUCUAGAUUCUUAAUACAUAAUGUGAUAAGAUUACAAUUGAUGUUUUGUAGGAUCGAAGAAAAGAAAGGAAGCUUAAGGGAAGAAGUGAGCAGAAUCUAACCGUGAAGGAAUGGAUUUCGAUCGCAUUUCUCGAAGAUUAGAUUCUUGAGCUACUACUUAGAGUUAGAAUUAGAUUGCUAAGAAAGAUGUAUUAGCAUAGUUUUUCAAUGAAUUGCAUUGUAAGGACAAAAUUUUUCCGCAAUAAAAUAAAUUUUGAUUUUAUAUUAUUUAUUUAUCCUUGCAAUGGCGUAUAUGAAAAAUUGAUGUUUGAAUGUUUCUAUUAUUAGCAAUAAUGGAUUUGGUUCUUAUUAUGUUAUUUAUGGAAAGUCGAGAAUUUACCAAAUAGGGAGAGUUUCUCAUCGCCCAAGUUUCAAUUGGACAGAAACUUGGAAUCAUGCAACUUGGUUGCACGAUGAAUGAGAAAUUUCAUAUUUGGAAAUUAGACUAAUUCAUUGACAAAGUGUCAAGUGAAGGACUAGGAGAUCGAGUACACAAAGUUGCGUGUUGAUCAAGUCCACCAUAAGAGUAACAAAGAUAUUCGUCAUGAUUUACUAAAGGUUUAGUAAAUAUGAUUAUACUUAUAAGAUUAAGUGUAAUUCUGAAUUGAUUGAAAAGGUUUAAAUCAAUAGCAGAACGAAUAAGAAGAAUCAAGUAGGCAGAAAGAUAAAAGUUUCUCCAUUCUAAGAAGAAGGGAGAGUACCUUUUAUGCUUUAUGAUAGGUCUUAAUGAUUAAGAACCAUAUCUCAAUUGAUCCUCUAAGUGAGUCUUAGUACAAUUGUAUGUCUAAGAAGAGGAAUCAAGAAUUGAAGAAAUGGUUAAAUCAAGAAGUCAAUCAUACUUCGUUCCAAAACAAGUCUUAGAGUUAAGAUUGUGAAAUUGAGUGAUAAGUAUUAAGAAGGUUUAUAACAUUCAUCAAAUGUGGAAAGUUGUGAUGUCUUGGAUAAGACAAAGACCAACUAGGACCAAUUUAUGAAGUGUUUUGAUAAAAGCUACACUAACUCUUGAAUAUUUGUUUGUCAAGAAAUGGUUAUUGACAAGAGAAUCUUAUAUGUCAAGGAGUCAGUGGGAGUCUUAAUGGUCUUGAAAGGUUUCAAGAACAAAUCAAAUAAACCUUAUCGAUCAUCACUAGCACACGAGUUGAGGUUUACAACCUAUCGUGUUGACAUUAUUUUGAUUCUGUGCCAAUCCAAUCGAGUUAAUUAUGCAUGUGAGUUCUAUGAGUUCUCAUUUUGAACGCAUAAAAGGCAAAGCACCUUAAUCAAUGAAAGGUACAUUGAUAGGAAAGGGUGAGCUGCUUAACUACUUGGAAGACAUGGUGGGCAGCUGUGCUACCAUAAGGCAAGAAAUCAAGAUUAAGAAAGUUCGGUCCAUAUGAGUUUGAAUUUGUCGUAAACUUUGGUUUUAACAAAUUCACAUGGAUAGGAACACAUACACCGUUUAAAUCUAAGUGUCAUAAGAUUUCCUCCUUCAUGAAAAUGAUUGUGAGGAAAUGCUUUCACUAAGAAAGAUUUUAAGAAGAUAGUGAUUGUAAAAUUGCAUUCUCGAAUUCAAUUAUGGUUACGGUAUCCCUUUCCAUAAUUUGAAUUGUGAGGUUUGGCAAUUAGUCUUAAUUGUUUAGACACACAUAUGAACUAUCGAAGGCAAAGGUGUAUAAGUUCAAGAAGCCUUGAUAAAAGAUUAUCAAAGCACUAAGUAUUAGAAACAUGAACUUAAGAAAUUCAAUAAGUAUUGUUUUUCUGAAAGUUAAGAUGUUUAUGAAUACAUGUCGAAGCUAGUGGGAGCAUAAGUGUUAUGUUUUAUAAUAAUCAUCAUGAUAGUGGGAGCAUAAAUGUUAUGAUUGUAUGAUUAUUAAGGCACGUAUUGCAAGUUGGCAAUAUUAAUUAUAGAAAACAAGAGUUAUACCUUGCAAAGUCGUAAGGGUUGUAAGGUUGUUUUGCUAUAAUUAAGGGAGAGAAUAUUAUGCUUCAUUUCAAAUCUAAAGGAUUAGGUUGAGAAAUGUUAAUAAAUUUAGUCAAAGGUACAUAGUGUGUUCUUAAAAUUUCGAUUAUGAUUACGGCAUUCCUCUUCACAAUUCGAAUUUUGAGAACAUAGCAAAUAAAACAUUAUGCGUCGUGUCCCAUACGCUUCGGGUAUAGGAUCGAUUGCAAAUGCUUUAAUGUUUGACCAUUCUAAAAUUUUCCAAAUGUCGAGCGCAUUUAGAGGGAAAAGGGACUAGAAUUGGUUUUGACUAAAAUAAUUAAACAACUAUCAAAGGACAAUCCAAAGUUUGACGAGGAUUGGUCGCUUGUGAGUAGUUGGAAGCAUGGUAUUGGAUGGACCAUAUCGACAUUAUUAUGAAUAGAAAAGAUUCUAUUAAGAAUGAGUUGUCAUAUGGAAAUUAUGGAAAUGUUUCCAUAUUGGAUGGACCAUAUCGACAUCAUUACGAAUAGAUAAGAUUCUAUUAAGAAUGAGUUGUCAUAUGGAAAAUAUGGAAGCGUGUCCAUAUUGGGAAUUAAAUAUUGAAAAUCUAUGACUAGAUUAGAAACUUUUAUGCAAAAGGAUGUUCAAAGGAAUGUACUUUGAGUGAGAGACAUCGUAUCUAAGGAAUUGUCUUGUAACAAUCUCCGAUAGAAGAUUUUGUAAUAUCAUUUGAAAUAGUCUUUGUGACUUUUGUAUAGUGACAUUACGAAAGUAUAAGUUGCAUAGAAUGUUAGAAUCUGGCAUAUUCUAUAAGUAGCAAGAAUUUGAUAUUCUUUCACUUAUGGAAAAGGAUUUGGAAUUUUGAAGUGAGAAUGAUUGGAAAUGUGCUCAAUUUGGUCUAUUUCACAAAGUAAGAACCAUCGGUAAACAUUGUGUGCAUGCUAGGAGCAUGGGACAAGUAUAAUAAUUCAAGUAAGAAGUUGAUUACCCGAAACGACAAAUAAUGAGUAAUCGAUAUGGUGAUAAAUAAAAGGUGUUUUAUUUAUACUCAAAGGUUUGAGGCCAUAUGGGAUUAGUAUUAUUCUUGUGUUUCACUUUGCAUGUUUUGACUUCCUGAAUAAUUUAAUUGGUUAAGAACAGUCAAAUUAUUCGAACGGGCCACAGUCGUUCAUAUGUUGGAAGUAGGUAUGAAUGAAGACUGUCGUGAAUUGGUGUGUGGAUUGUCUAAAGAGUAUUAGACAUAAGCAAAUGUUUGCUGCAACGUUCAUGAGUGCUUAUGAAUAUGAUUUGAGCAUUGGAUUAAACCCACGCUCACUUGGAUCACUCCAUGAAUUGUAUCACGAGUGAUUGGUGAGACGAUAACAUCUUAUAUUCUUGAAACCGAGAUGUGUGAGUUGUAUCUUGCGAAUCGGUUGCACAUUGAUAAUAUGUAAACGCACUAGUAACUUGGUGUUAUAAAACAUAUUGUUGUGUGUGAUUCGGUGAGUGAGUGCAAGCAAGCAUUGAAUCAAAGUUUAUCCGUUCCUUUUAUCCAAAGUAGGAUAAAAGCGAUAUCUUUGGGCCCCUCGAUGAUUUAGUGAUGACAAACGUAAAUGCUCGGCCGGGCUAGGGCUAAUUUGAUUUGUUCAAUUAGUCAGUCGUCAUAAAUCGGGAAUCGAGAUAUAGUACAAAGAGAAUGAUUUGAAAUCAUAUCUCAUAUGAUAUCUAGAAUGGAGGAAUAUAUGAUCCCUUAUCUAAGGACACGCGUAUCUGAUAUGAUCAGAGUUGACAGCGGCUUUGGAAAGCUACGAUUGCAGAUCAGGAUCUGAAGUCAUACGCAGAAUAGUUAUUAGACUUAUCCAAGUGGGAGACUGUUGGAUUAGUGUCUAAGUCCAUAACUAUUUUGGUAUGUACUUGACCCGAUGGUGCAUGGUCCUUUUGGGUUGCCUUCACCAAAGCAACUUGAUAGGAUGAAUUAUGGAGAGAAAGGAUUAAAUAUGAUUUAUUAAUAUAUUAUGGGAAUAAUAUAUUAAAGGAGAAAUCAUAUUGUUUAAAUAAUAUUAGUCAAGAAUUAAUUAGUAAUUAGUUUUGUGACUAAAAGAGAUUAAUUAAACUUAAGGGACUGAAAUUGUAAUUAUAAGAUAAUUGCAAUUUGGGUCAUGGAUUGCCUUUUAUUAUAAGGUGGACGAAUCUAAUGGGAAACCCAUAAAGAAAUCGUCCAAGGGCUUGAUUAAAGGAGUCCAUGGGUUGCUUAGGGCUUAAGCAACCAAAUUAGGGUUUCCUCGUUAGAUAACCCUAAUAGCCUCACUAUAUAUAGAUCCCUUAAGGACCAAAAACGUGGCUAAGCUUCUUGCUAGGGUUUCACACGUUUUUGGGCAGCCUCUAACCUCUCUCCUCUUCAUCCUCUUGCUUAUGGUGUUUGUGAGCCAUUAGAGGAGUGACACUUGUGACUCUAAGCCUUCCAAAGUCAAUUCAAGGAGGAAUUGGGAUUGUUAUCGCUACAUAAUAAUCAAGGUAAUAUCAUAAACCUGUUCUAAUAUCUAAUAUGAUUAUCUAUCAUCAUAAUAAACUUCUUAAUCAAGUCAGCAACCCAACCUUGUUGGACAAAAAGAAAACCCACGUGAACCACGAGAAGUCAUCGAUCACAACCAAACAAAAUGAUUUCUGUUGAUACUGAGGACAUUGACCAGACCAAAUAAGUCCAUAUGUAACAAUUGGAGCACCUGUUUGAUUG